Ailuropoda melanoleuca (giant panda) is the source of this 1223-nucleotide long non-coding RNA. Ensembl lists it as uncharacterized. Lineage: Eukaryota; Metazoa; Chordata; Mammalia; Carnivora; Ursidae. The record is from Ensembl.
CGCCCCCCCUCCUCCUCCUCCCCCCCCCCCCCCGCCUCCGCUUCCUCCCCCUCGCGGGCCGCCCUCUCCAGCCCCGCCCCGCUCCGCGCCGCGCCGGCCGCCCGCGGGUCUCCAUGGUGCCGGGCGCACGCGGGAGGCCGGCCGGCUAGGGACGCGGGGAUCGGCGCUCGAGGCAAGGUACUAUUUUCAGAAUCCAGGUGGAGUCUUCACACAGUAAAACAAUGCCAAGAGAAAAGGAAGGAAAACAAAAAACUAAAGGAAUACCCGUGCCCAUCGUUCCAAUUCUUCAAAAGUUCCUGAAAACAUACGAGAAGCACUGUGCCCAGACGCAGACAUUUGUGUGUCCAGCCAUCAAACAGGACUUGAAAACCAGCAUCAGCAGUGAACGGAUUCUCAGGAAAUUUAUGCUUGUAAGACCUGAAGAGUCCCCGCCAAGCAUCCCACCAACUUCCUUGGAACCUUUGCUCAUGACAAUUCAAGAUGAGUGUUAUAUGCUGGGGAGAGAGAUCUGUAUCUGGAGCCUUCAGCUGAGCAACCCAGAGAUUGCCAGACUGGCCUCACUUCUGGAGUUGAGGGGGUGUGCCGCCUGCCCAUUUACCAGCCUGGAGCUCAUCAACUGCAGGAUGGAUCUGUGGUCCCUCGGGAGACUUGGGAGGGCUCUGCCAUGCAGCUGUCUGCGUUCUCUCGUCCUCGAUUACUGCAGAUUUGGAAAUGAAGAAAUUGAGAAUAUUUUCUCAGGCCUGGAGAACAACCAAAGGCUUCAAGUCCUCAGUCUGCGCUACUGUGGUCUGGGGCCGCAGAGCGGGCCACGGCUGGGCGCCAUCAUAUGCCAGAGCUCCAUCUGUGAGCUGCACCUUGAUGGCAAUUACUUACAGUGCUCCGGGGCUCUGGCUCUCCUCAGACCCGCAGCAGAGUACGCAGAGAAGCAGGGCAGAGACCAGCCGGCCACAUCCCCACCAGACCCUGGGAGUCCCCCUCAGCAGCUUCGGGUCAAACAGAGGGGAAGUUCAACUUUGAACCAGACUACAAAGUCACCUGGAGCUCUUCCAGGGAAAACCACUGCAGGGAAGGAGCGGAGGAAAAAAGGAAUCAAGAAAAAAAUAAAAGAUUUGACUGAAGCUGGCCCAUGGUUAGUGAAAUUGUAUUUGGCAGAUAAUGGCAUAGACAGAAAAGGAAAAGAAGGAGAAAAUGGCUUAUUGGAAUUCACUCAAAUUUUAACAUGA